CACGUAGGGGGCGAGCGUUGUCCGGAUUUAUUGGGCGUAAAGAGCUCGUAGGCGGCUCAGUAAGUCAGGUGUGAAAACUCUAGGCUCAACCUGGAGACGCCACCUGAUACUGCUGUGGCUAGAGUCCGGUAGGGGAGCAUGGAAUUCCUGGUGAUAGCGGUGAAAUGCGGCAGACUAUCAGGAGGAACACCAGUGGCGGAAGGCGGUGCUUCUGGGCCGGAACUGAACG
Molecule: ribosomal RNA, 229 nt
Filed under: uncultured bacterium
Lineage: Bacteria
Description: partial 16S ribosomal RNA
Rfam family: Bacterial small subunit ribosomal RNA
Source: RNAcentral